Molecule: ribosomal RNA, 468 nt
Filed under: uncultured bacterium
Lineage: Bacteria
Description: partial 16S ribosomal RNA
Rfam family: Bacterial small subunit ribosomal RNA
Source: RNAcentral
GACGAACGCUGGCGGCGUGCUUAACACAUGCAAGUCGAACGGAAAGGCCCUGCUUUUGUUGGGUGCUCGAGUGGCGAACGGGUGAGUAACACGUGAGUAACCUGCCCUUGACUUUGGGAUAACUUCAGGAAACUGGGGCUAAUACCGGAUAGGAUCUCCUGCUGCAUGGUGGGGGUUGGAGAGUUUCGGCGGUUGGGGAUGGACUCGCGGCUUAUCCGCUUGUUGGUGGGGUAGUGGCUUACCAAGGCUUUGACGGGUAGCCGGCCUGAGAGGGUUACCGGCCACAUUGGGACUGAGAUACGGCCCAGAAGCCUACGGGAGGCAGCAGUGGGGAAUAUUGCACAAUGGGCGGAAGCCUGAUGCAGAAACGCCGCGUGCGGGAUGACGGCCUUCGGGUUGUAAACCGCUUUCGCCUGUGACGAAGCGUGAGUGACGGUAAUGGGUAAAGAAGCACCGGCUAACUACGUG